This 95-nucleotide transfer RNA is filed under the name Streptomyces nojiriensis. RNAcentral describes it as "tRNA-Arg". The record is from RNAcentral. Lineage: Bacteria; Bacillati; Actinomycetota; Actinomycetes; Kitasatosporales; Streptomycetaceae.
GCUCGGGCUCGGGCACGGGCUCCGGGACCGCCGGCUCCGGUCCGGUCACCUCGCGCCAGAGUGCGGGGCCGCCGUCCGCAUCGGCGUCCUCGCCC